This 214-nucleotide long non-coding RNA is filed under the name Capsicum annuum. RNAcentral's name for it is "long non-coding RNA (CANN_LNC015127)". Lineage: Eukaryota; Viridiplantae; Streptophyta; Magnoliopsida; Solanales; Solanaceae. The record is from RNAcentral.
UCAAAGCUCAGGAACAAUGAAGAAGAAGGAAUAGACUUAGAAGGCAUAAAACCUAAUAAAUUCUUGUAGUUUUCACACCGGAGAUUGCUAUAAAGAGGGAAAGCAUUGCAAGUUCAUGACUACGUUGCAUCUGCUAGGUACCAAGGUUGGUUGGGUUUGUCUUGAGCAGUAGACCUCGAUAAUAAACACAUGCAUAACGUAGACUGAUGGGAGA